GACGAACGCUGGCGGCGUGCUUAACACAUGCAAGUCGAACGGUGAAGGGACCAGCUUGCUGGUUCUGGAUGAGUGGCGAACGGGUGAGUAACACGUGAGUAACCUGCCCCCUUCUUCUGGAUAACCGCAUGAAAGUGUGGCUAAUACGGGAUAUUCUGGGUCUGCCGCAUGGCGGGCCCGGGAAAGAUAUUGCUUCGGUGGGGGAUGGGCUCGCGGCCUAUCAGCUUGUUGGUGGGGUGAUGGCCUACCAAGGCGGUGACGGGUAGCCGGCCUGAGAGGGUGGACGGUCACAUUGGGACUGAGACACGGCCCAGACUCCUACGGGAGGCAGCAGUGGGGAAUAUUGCACAAUGGGCGCAAGCCUGAUGCAGCGACGCCGCGUGAGGGAUGGAGGCCUUCGGGUUGUAAACCUCUUUCGCCAGUGAAGCAGGCCUGCUCCUUGUGGGUGGGUUGACGGUAGCUGGAUAAGAAGCGCCGGCUAACUACGUG
RNAcentral lists this ribosomal RNA (489 nucleotides) under uncultured bacterium. Its description in RNAcentral is "partial 16S ribosomal RNA". It matches the Rfam family "Bacterial small subunit ribosomal RNA", at positions 28 to 507 of the family's 1533-position model. The record is from RNAcentral.